This 711-nucleotide long non-coding RNA is filed under the name Rosa chinensis. Its description in RNAcentral is "sRNA RchiOBHm_MTg0499021". Lineage: Eukaryota; Viridiplantae; Streptophyta; Magnoliopsida; Rosales; Rosaceae. The record is from RNAcentral.
CGAUUGCAGUCUCCGAAGUCCUUCUUGAUCGAUGGUCCCCAUUAGCAUUAGUGCCAAUUAGCAGCCGCUCUUUUUGGAAGGCGAGGUACUCAUGUGUGAUCUCGGAUUCCACGGUAGCAGUAGUUCUCGCUCUACAUUAGGAGCACAGGGGCUCUAUCCAUCUAAAGGAGGUACGGACUCCUUCCAUAGUACGGUACGAUGCAGUUGAAAAACGUAAGCCCAACCCUUACGUUUUCUUGCUUUUCUUUGUUGAACCCUCUACGGUCUACCCUCUUUCUCGAUAUCCUAAUUCUAGCGUUCGUUAGCAGAAGUAGAGAUAGGGGGAGAUAGGAUUUUUGAAAAAAUUUAUGUGAUUUUUACAGAAGCCGCUAUAAAGGGAAGAAGCACAUCCUGCACCUUCACCUGCGAAGCGCUACGCUCCUGCUUACGAAAGACUACUUUCCAAGCGAACUACUGAAGACAGACUACCGGGAGUGGGAAUAAAGCUCCAGCCCUUAGCCCUGAACUCCUUCAAUAUCGCACCUACUACCAAAGACUGAACCAAAGAAGGGAUGGGAUAGACAUAGCCAUCUCUCCCUCACCCCGAAGCUCAAACCCCGCAUCCUGAUCCAGAUCUAGCUACGGACUUACUAGAGCUACUACGCAUCGGGGGAAGGCGUCUAGACGCCUAAAGGAGGGCAUAAAAGACUGUCUGAAUCUUCCUAAAGUAGC